Molecule: ribosomal RNA, 25 nt
Filed under: Boehmeria clidemioides var. diffusa
Lineage: Eukaryota; Viridiplantae; Streptophyta; Magnoliopsida; Rosales; Urticaceae
Description: partial 28S ribosomal RNA
Source: RNAcentral
CGCUGAGUUUAAUCAUAUCAAUAAA